This 452-nucleotide ribosomal RNA is filed under the name uncultured bacterium. Its description in RNAcentral is "bacterial SSU rRNA". It matches the Rfam family "Bacterial small subunit ribosomal RNA", at positions 9 to 437 of the family's 1533-position model. The record is from RNAcentral.
GAGUUUGAUCCUGGCUCAGGACGAACGCUGGCGGCGUGCCUAAUACAUGCAAGUCGAACGAAACUUUCUUACACCGAAUGCUUGCAUUCACUGUAAGAAGUUGAGUGGCGGACGGGUGAGUAACACGUGGGUAACCUGCCUAAAAGAAGGGGAUAACACUUGGAAACAGGUGCUAAUACCGUAUAUCUCUAAGGAUCGCAUGAUCCUUAGAUGAAAGAUGGUUCUGCUAUCGCUUUUAGAUGGACCCGCGGCGUAUUAACUAGUUGGUGGGGUAACGGCCUACCAAGGUGAUGAUACGUAGCCGAACUGAGAGGUUGAUCGGCCACAUUGGGACUGAGACACGGCCCAAACUCCUACGGGAGGCAGCAGUAGGGAAUCUUCCACAAUGGACGCAAGUCUGAUGGAGCAACGCCGCGUGAGUGAAGAAGGUCUUCGGAUCGUAAAACUCUGUU